Sinocyclocheilus grahami is the source of this 1234-nucleotide long non-coding RNA. RefSeq lists it as uncharacterized. The record is from RefSeq and is a predicted model, not a curated record. NCBI's taxonomy places the organism in Eukaryota, Metazoa, Chordata, Actinopteri, Cypriniformes, Cyprinidae. The transcript is spliced from 2 exons.
UCUUAGUUUCUUUAUUUUCUCUCUUAGGUCAUCUCAAAAUGCUUUUAAUGCAUGAAUGAAUAAUCAAUUCAUAAAUGAAGAACAGACAAACGGAAGGAUGCAAAUGGACAAGAGCAAUACAACAAAUAAAAUUCAUUUUGUUAACAUAAAAAAAAUCCCCUCUAGUCUACGAUCCUCUCAAUGAACACUAGAGGGUACUGCACAAUUCAGAGACUGUCAGGUAUGAUUAUGAAAAACAUUUCAGUUAAUCUUUUCAGUAUUUCAUGUCACCUACUGUGACAUGAAGAAUGUAUUUGUUUUACUAUAAGAGUGUAAAACAUUUCCCGUUUAGAUUCUUUACAAAAAAAUUAACACAAUGAAAUGUAACCCACAACAAUGUACCAGUUCACAAGAAUGUAACAUUAAAACAGACGGGAUAAUACUUGUAGGAGAUUUACACACAAUCUCAAACUCAAAAACACAAGGUGACAGUGGUUCUAUUACUUAUACUGAUAACUUGCUCAAAACAGUUAUUCAUGCAUGCAAUUUUGUUUCCAAAAAUUUUUUAUAAUAAUUGUCUCAAAUUGUUUUUACAGAUCCAGAAAUGGAAGACACAAAAUUCCAAAUACACGAAGGCCAAUCACAUAUGAUAAGGUUCCUUAUGUAAUCCCACAGAAAUGUUUCUCUGUAAACAACACCUUUCGCCGAUAAACCAGUGUGUUUCAUCAAAGACAUCAUGAAUGGAUGGUCAAACAUAUUGUAAGUCACGUAAUGCAGGAGUGAUCUAUUUUUAAAUAUGUUUAUUUUGUGUGUAAAUUCCUGAUUCACAGCAACAUACCGAAAUUCAAGCAUUUCUCUCCCCACAACAUUCAUUUAUUUCCCCUUUAAAAGAACAGAAAGUACAUUGCAUGGAAUGGCAGGAUGCAACUCUCUAGCUAAAUUAAGAUGAUCUGAAUUUAAAAAGUUUUCGCAUUUAAAUUUGACAGCAACACAUAAUACACAUUUGGGGAGACGGAGGGUUGUCUGCAACGGUGUUAUUUUCCCUUCAUAGCAACACUACAUUCACUGCCUCUGUGCAAAGGUUAUUAAAAACUUAAAACUGGGGACUAAAAUAUAUGCUUAGUGUCAAAGUGUUCCUGCACAAAACCAAACACUAGUGCUUGACACAGGCAUGAAAGUGACUAAAUGAAAAAAGUAUGCAUACUUCUUCCAUCAAACCCUAAAAUCAUCUAUACAGAACAGGGACAAAUAAAAA